CUGGAGUUCCUGCAUCUGGGUCAGAAAUCAUAUCCAGGAGAGAUUUAUCCAGAGUAGAUUUGCUCAUUAUUUUUUCCUCGUAUUCAAAAUACACAUCCAGCUUUCUAGUCUUUAUAUGCUCCAAAACAGCUGUUGCAACAUUUGUAUGAAGAUCAAUGAGCCUCUUCUUUUCCAGAAGUUCUGGAAGAGAGCUAACAGCUGAAGUAAGCUUAGCUGUAUUGUCAGAAAGCAUGCUUAUUGCUCCUUCAUCCUCCCCUUCUAUGCCCAUUAUACUUUUUAGCCUUUUGACUUCAUCUUCUU
This 300-nucleotide long non-coding RNA is filed under the name Gallus gallus (chicken). The record is from RNAcentral. Lineage: Eukaryota; Metazoa; Chordata; Aves; Galliformes; Phasianidae.